This is a non-coding RNA of Ictalurus furcatus (blue catfish), 399 nucleotides long. The record is from the annotation of a RefSeq genome assembly. Lineage: Eukaryota; Metazoa; Chordata; Actinopteri; Siluriformes; Ictaluridae.
AUGUUCUCCACAUCUCUACUGCUCCUGCUGGCAGCUGCUUCUUAUGUGCAUGGUGAAGAACUGACUCAGCCUGCUUCCAUGACAGUCCAGCCAGCCCAGAGUCUCUCCAUCAACUGCAACGUUUCAUAUUCAGUUACCAGCUAUUAUACAGCUUGGAUCCAACUGCCUGCAGGAAAAGAUCUGGAGUGGAUUGGAAACAUCUAUAGCGGUGGGAGUACAGCUUACAGUGACAAACUAAAAAAUAAGUUCAGCAUCUCCAGAGACACUGCUACAAACACAGUAACAAUUGGACAGAAUCUGCAAACUGAAGAUACAGCUGUGUAUUACUGACACAGAAUAGUGGAUUCCCCUUACAAAUACUUUGACAUGUGUUAGAGACAUCAUCUCAAUGCAACUAAU